AAAACAUUCAGUCUGGUAAAACAGCUUGACUGCAGCAGAACACCCUUUCGGAAUUCAAAUUAAGUAAAGUUAUAAAUUCAAAAUUUAAAGUGAAACAACAGAGACUCUUCAACAUGCGGUUUCGUUCGGGAACACAACAGAACCUCGUACCUCGAGAGUCUUAGAUGGGAUGUAAUACAUCAUCCACUAAUACACUCUUGCCAUUGCCAAUCGAUGGCUAAUGGCUGAUGGCAAUGGCAAUGACGAUGGCAAUCGAUGUGCGGCUUGAUAACAAAGGGAUAAACACUAUACGUGGGAAGCACUGAUGGUACCCGUCCCGCCGGACGCGAAGUUUGCAUUGGUCGCUGUAUAAAAGAAACGACUGUCUACAUGCUUAUAUUGUCAACACAAAAAUAAAAAUCACUGAUCAAUCGAAA
Molecule: long non-coding RNA, 416 nt
Organism: Drosophila eugracilis
Lineage: Eukaryota; Metazoa; Arthropoda; Insecta; Diptera; Drosophilidae
Exons: 4
Source: RefSeq, a predicted model, not a curated record